RNAcentral lists this ribosomal RNA (501 nucleotides) under uncultured bacterium. RNAcentral's name for it is "partial 16S ribosomal RNA". It matches the Rfam family "Bacterial small subunit ribosomal RNA", at positions 30 to 523 of the family's 1533-position model. The record is from RNAcentral.
AUUGAACGCUGGCGGCAGGCUUAACACAUGCAAGUCGAGCGGGGUGAGGUACUUCGGUACUGAUCCUAGCGGCGGACGGGUGAGUAAUGCUUAGGAAUCUGCCAUUUAGUGGGGGACAACAUUCCGAAAGGGAUGCUAAUACCGCAUACGUCCUACGGGAGAAAGCAGGGGAUCUUCGGACCUUGCGCUAAAUGAUGAGCCUAAGUCGGAUUAGCUAGUUGGUGGGGUAAAGGCCUACCAAGGCGACGAUCUGUAGCGGGUCUGAGAGGAUGAUCCGCCACACUGGGACUGAGACACGGCCCAGACUCCUACGGGAGGCAGCAGUGGGGAAUAUUGGACAAUGGGCGGAAGCCUGAUCCAGCCAUGCCGCGUGUGUGAAGAAGGCCUUUUGGUUGUAAAGCACUUUAAGCGAGGAGGAGGCUACCUGGAUUAAUACUCUAGGAUAGUGGACGUUACUCGCAGAAUAAGCACCGGCUAAUUCUGUGCCAGCCGCCGCAGUAA